GGUAUCGUAGCUCAGUUGGUAGAGCAAAGGACUGAAAAUCCUUGUGUCGACGGUUCGAUUCCGCCCGAUACCA
This 73-nucleotide transfer RNA is filed under the name Bacteroidota bacterium. RNAcentral describes it as "Bacteroidetes bacterium tRNA-Phe". It matches the Rfam family "tRNA". From Rfam's summary of the family: Transfer RNA (tRNA) molecules are approximately 80 nucleotides in length. Their secondary structure includes four short double-helical elements and three loops (D, anti-codon, and T loops). The record is from RNAcentral. RNAcentral also lists the same sequence under 1 other name. Lineage: Bacteria; Pseudomonadati; Bacteroidota.